This is a long non-coding RNA of Aedes albopictus (Asian tiger mosquito), 1665 nucleotides long. RefSeq lists it as uncharacterized. The transcript has 3 exons. The record is from RefSeq and is a predicted model, not a curated record. Lineage: Eukaryota; Metazoa; Arthropoda; Insecta; Diptera; Culicidae.
GAGAAAAAUGGUUAUACUUGUUUGCAUAUUAUUUAAUAAGAAUUUUGCAUUUCGAUCAUUUAAACUUGGCUGUGUAUGAAAAGUAUGCAUUACAUUCUUUUAUAUUAUGCAGUUUUGUGCUUUUCCGGAAUUUAUUGGUUAUCAUGAAUAUCGAGGCACUGAUUUUACUCUUGGGACUUUGGAAACUAUUUUACUUGAUAACCGCCAUUGACAGUAGUGAAAAGCCAAAGUGAAACUGCCACAAUUUUUGCUUGUUCGCGAGCAUUUCAAAAGUGUCCGGGACUUCAAAUAACCAGAUACCAUCAAGGUCCACCCGUUACCCAUGGAGAAUCACCAGCUACGAUUAUUAGAUUUUCGGUAAGUACGAAAAGCAUAUUUUUCCGACAAAUAUUAACAUCAAUGUCUCCGCAUUAGAUUUCUCAUCAAAAAGUUGCAUCAACUCAGUUCCUGCUUCCUAGUUAUCCGGAGAACAUCAACGGUGAAACGGUGCAACGGUGAAGCAAUCUUAGGAGGAACUUCCGAUCGAAAUAAUAGGUCCUGAAGAGUAUCCUGCGUAACAGCAAGCCAUAUGACUGGCUAGACCUUAGUGUUAAAUUAAUUAUAUUUAUUUGAUUUAAUUGCAUUUUUAGUAAUGGAAAUGAAAAUAAAUGACAUCUUUCUUUCUAUAUGUCCAAACUAGCCAUAUGUUUCUUUGUUAUUGUGAUAAUCAGCAAAAAAAAAACAAAAAUAAAAAAAAAUAUGCAUUCUACAACAAAUAUAAUCGACGUAUGCAUUUCAAUGCAUACACUGAAAUAAUUUUUAGAGUAAUUUGAACCAUGUACCUAUGUUUAAUUUUACCAUAUCCAAAAAUAGUAAUGGUAACCAUGUUUUUAAUGGUAAUUACGAUGUUUUUGCUCAAAUUUACUAUGAUCUGACAGCUAAUCGAAUAGUGAUUUGCACCAUGAAACGUAGUUAUCAUAAUUACACCUUUCGUGUUCAAUGCAACCAUUUUCGUGUUUAUUGUUACUAUUUACAUGGUUAGUUUGAGUAUACGUAAUUAUUUUCAGUCUUCUGGCAGGUCUUCCGGCCAUCUUGCCAGAAACGUGAAUUGUUAAUAAUUUCUCCUGGGAAUUUUGCAGCUGCUGUAGAAAUCGGUAAAAUGUAUUCAUGGUUCAUGAUGAAUUUGCCACCAGCGGUGCUAUUGUGCAUCAUCCAGCGCCUAGUAAAAAAGCCUUGCUGGCGAGCACUUGGCUUUCGGCAUCAAAGAUCCGUUGCCGAAGAUCGUCGGUUUCAACGUGUGGAUAAUCACCGGCAAUCAAUUAGAGCAUAUGCGUCCAGAGGGCGACGGAUGUUCCUCCACUGGCACCUAAGACCAGCACAUCACAGUGGUCAUCAUUCGAGGCAACGGAUCUUCCGGCUCCCACAUCUACCACUUUGUAGCCGCUUAUCAACUUUUAUCCAUACCGGAGGCAUCAGUUAGUUCGCAGAUGUGAAGAUUUCAGUUUCGAAUGACAUUAGAAACUCGCAUCGCGGAACGACUGCGGAGUAUCUACCGGCAAAACCCCCAAAUUUAGUUCCAUACGUCUCCCCAGUUGAGUGUGGACAAGAUCGUUCAUAUUUAUUAUACAAAUAUCAUUUUAGUGUAUUAUUUAUUUUGAAUAAAUUCAUUUGAUAUAUUUUCUUGCA